GGAAAACACAGAGUGUCCUUGAGAAGAAAGGAUACUCUACCCAGAAGGAGGUAGAGAAUGGUGUCAUCGCUACUGACGAACAUGGUGACCAGUUCGUCAUUAAAAAGAUCAAAUUGUAUGAGACAUCUGUCCUGAACGCAAGUGCUGGAGAAAUUUUCUCAAAGGUUGAAUGCCUCAGACAGAUUAGUCACCCCCACAUUGUAAGCUACAAAAACUCAUUUCUAGAGGAUAACUGCUACUAUAUAGUGACAGACCAUUGUGCAAAGGGAAAUCUCUCUCAGAAGAUACAAGAGCAGAUGACUAACCCUACAGAAGAGUACUCUGAGAAGGUAACUGAAGUAAUGACUAGAAGAUUCCACACCGCAACUGUUUUUAUUUUAGACUAAAUACUUUGAUACCUUC
Molecule: long non-coding RNA, 402 nt
Organism: Salvelinus fontinalis (brook trout)
Lineage: Eukaryota; Metazoa; Chordata; Actinopteri; Salmoniformes; Salmonidae
Exons: 3
Source: RefSeq, a predicted model, not a curated record